GCUGGAGUGGCACAGUUGGUAGCGCAGCUGAUUCGUAAUCAGCAGGUCGUGGGUUCGAGUCCCAUCUCCAGCUCCA
RNAcentral lists this transfer RNA (76 nucleotides) under Eubacterium sp. RNAcentral describes it as "tRNA-Thr". It matches the Rfam family "tRNA". Rfam says of the family: Transfer RNA (tRNA) molecules are approximately 80 nucleotides in length. Lineage: Bacteria; Bacillati; Bacillota; Clostridia; Eubacteriales; Eubacteriaceae. RNAcentral also lists the same sequence under 2 other names. The record is from RNAcentral.